AAUACCUCAGUCUUAUCAGGUGUCCUACAAAAUUACCUGGAAAUACUGAGGUUGAGU
Molecule: microRNA precursor, 57 nt
Filed under: Microcaecilia unicolor
Lineage: Eukaryota; Metazoa; Chordata; Amphibia; Gymnophiona; Siphonopidae
Description: Mun-Mir-875_pre stem-loop
Source: RNAcentral